UGAAACUCUGUGGAAUCAGUUCUGUCUGC
Molecule: non-coding RNA, 29 nt
Filed under: Rattus norvegicus (Norway rat)
Lineage: Eukaryota; Metazoa; Chordata; Mammalia; Rodentia; Muridae
Source: RNAcentral